RNAcentral lists this ribosomal RNA (515 nucleotides) under uncultured Planctomycetota bacterium. Its description in RNAcentral is "bacterial SSU rRNA". It matches the Rfam family "Bacterial small subunit ribosomal RNA", at positions 355 to 864 of the family's 1533-position model. The record is from RNAcentral. Lineage: Bacteria; Pseudomonadati; Planctomycetota.
UCGAGAAUCUUCCGCAAUGGACGAAAGUCUGACGGAGCGACGCCGCGUGCGGGAUGAAGGCCUUCGGGUUGUAAACCGCUGUCAGUUGGGAGGAAGUGCUAUAGGGUUCUCUCUAUAGCUUGACCGAUCUUCAGAGGAAGUACGGGCUAAGUACGUGCCAGCAGCCGCGGUAAUACGUACCGUACGAACGUUAUUCGGAAUCACUGGGCUUAAAGAGUCCGUAGGCGGCCUUAAAGGUGAGGUGUGAAAUCCCACGGCUUAACCGUGGAACUGCGCUUCAAACCAUAAGGCUAGAGGGAGAUAGAGGAAAGCGGAACUGAUGGUGGAGCGGUGAAAUGCGUUGAUAUCAUCAGGAACACCGGUGGCGAAAGCGGCUUUCUGGGUCUCUUCUGACGCUGAGGGACGAAAGCUAGGGGAGCGAACGGGAUUAGAUACCCCGGUAGUCCUAGCUGUAAACGAUGAGCACUAGUUCGAGGGGACCCCCACAUCCUCUUGGACGUAGCGAAAGUGUUAAG